This 468-nucleotide ribosomal RNA is filed under the name uncultured bacterium. RNAcentral's name for it is "partial 16S ribosomal RNA". It matches the Rfam family "Bacterial small subunit ribosomal RNA", at positions 28 to 507 of the family's 1533-position model. The record is from RNAcentral.
GACGAACGCUGGCGGCGUGCUUAACACAUGCAAGUCGAACGGAAAGGCCCCGCUUUUGUGGGGUGCUCGAGUGGCGAACGGGUGAGUAACACGUGAGUAACCUGCCCUUGACUUUGGGAUAACUUCAGGAAACUGGGGCUAAUACCGGAUAGGAGCUCCUGCUGCAUGGUGGGGGUUGGAAAGUUUCGGCGGUUGGGGAUGGACUCGCGGCUUAUCAGCUUGUUGGUGGGGUAGUGGCUUACCAAGGCUUUGACGGGUAGCUGGCCUGAGAGGGUGACCGGCCACAUUGGGACUGAGAUACGGCCCAGACUCCUACGGGAGGCAGCAGUGGGGAAUAUUGCACAAUGGGCGGAAGCCUGAUGCAGCAACGCCGCGUGCGGGAUGACGGCCUUCGGGUUGUAAACCGCUUUCGCCUGUGACGAAGCGUGAGCGACGGUAAUGGGUAAAGAAGCACCGGCUAACUACGUG